GCCCUUGAUGAUAUAAUUCAUGUUUUUGAGGUGCAGAAGAUCUAGGACCCUGUUUUGCAGGGAGAACCUCCUUAGUGAACCUAUAUUUAAAUGAGAUUAGUGAAUUUAACUGAUGA
Molecule: small nucleolar RNA, 116 nt
Organism: Impatiens glandulifera
Lineage: Eukaryota; Viridiplantae; Streptophyta; Magnoliopsida; Ericales; Balsaminaceae
Product: small nucleolar RNA Z278
Exons: 1
Source: RefSeq, a predicted model, not a curated record